GACGAACGCUGGCGGCGUGCUUAACACAUGCAAGUCGAACGGAAAGGCCUCUUUCGGGGGGUACUCGAGUGGCGAACGGGUGAGUAACACGUGAGUAACCUGCCCUUGACUUUGGGAUAACUUCAGGAAACUGGGGCUAAUACCGGAUAGGAGCUCCUGCUGCAUGGUGGGGGUUGGAAAGUUUCGGCGGUUGGGGAUGGGCUCGCGGCUUAUCAGCUUGUUGGUGGGGUAGUGGCUUACCAAGGCUUUGACGGGUAGCCGGCCUGGGAGGGUGACCGGCCACAUUGGGGCUGGGAUACGGCCCAGACUCCGACGGGAGGCAGCAGUGGGGAAUAUUGCACAAGGGGUGGAAGCCUGAUGCAGCAACGCCGGGUGCGGGAUGACGGGCUUCGGGUUGUAAACCGCUUUCGCUCAUGACGAAGCUUUGUGUGACGGUAGUGGGUAAAGAAGCACCGGCUAACUACGUG
RNAcentral lists this ribosomal RNA (467 nucleotides) under uncultured bacterium. Its description in RNAcentral is "partial 16S ribosomal RNA". It matches the Rfam family "Bacterial small subunit ribosomal RNA", at positions 28 to 507 of the family's 1533-position model. The record is from RNAcentral.